Molecule: ribosomal RNA, 490 nt
Filed under: uncultured bacterium
Lineage: Bacteria
Description: partial 16S ribosomal RNA
Rfam family: Bacterial small subunit ribosomal RNA
Source: RNAcentral
UGAACGCUGGCGGUAGGCCUAACACAUGCAAGUCGAACGGCAGCACAGUAAGAGCUUGCUCUUACGGGUGGCGAGUGGCGGACGGGUGAGGAAUACAUCGGAAUCUACUUUUUCGUGGGGGAUAACGUAGGGAAACUUACGCUAAUACCGCAUACGACCUACGGGUGAAAGCAGGGGAUCUUCGGACCUUGCGCGAUUGAAUGAGCCGAUGUCGGAUUAGCUAGUUGGCGGGGUAAAGGCCCACCAAGGCGACGAUCCGUAGCUGGUCUGAGAGGAUGAUCAGCCACACUGGAACUGAGACACGGUCCAGACUCCUACGGGAGGCAGCAGUGGGGAAUAUUGGACAAUGGGCGCAAGCCUGAUCCAGCCAUACCGCGUGGGUGAAGAAGGCCUUCGGGUUGUAAAGCCCUUUUGUUGGGAAAGAAAAGCAGCAGGUUAAUACCCCGCUGUUCUGACGGUACCCAAAGAAUAAGCACCGGCCAACUUCGUG